UACGUAGGGGGCAAGCGUUGUCCGGAAUUAUUGGGCGUAAAGCGCGCGCAGGCGGUUUCAUAAGUCAGGUGUAAAAGGCAUUGGCUCAACCAAUGUAAGCAUUUGAAACUGUGAGGCUUGAGUAUAGGAGAGGUAAGUGGAAUUCCUAGUGUAGAGGUGAAAUUCGUAGAUAUUAGGAGGAACACCAGUGGCGAAGGCGACUUACUGGACUGUAACUGACACUGAGGCACGAAAGCGUGGGUAGCGAACAGG
RNAcentral lists this ribosomal RNA (252 nucleotides) under uncultured bacterium. RNAcentral's name for it is "partial 16S ribosomal RNA". It matches the Rfam family "Bacterial small subunit ribosomal RNA", at positions 524 to 776 of the family's 1533-position model. The record is from RNAcentral.